UUGCAACACAGUGUAACAAGAGUUGUGAUGACGAAAGUGAGGGCACCCGUCCCUCCUUGGGAGAGUCCAGGAAGGCGUCGCGGAAGGACCCCUUCACACAGCAGUGAGGGAAGGAGGGUGGGAUGCAACCGUUUAGAAGAUCUGAUAACGAAAGGCUCCUGGUACCUUUCAGGACACAGUAAAUGUGUUGAGGAGGUGGGAGGGGCAGAAGCUUGAGGGAAAAGAAGGAGGUUUAACAGAGUUUUGAGCCGUUUGAGAGGAAGCUGACUCGAAGGACCGAUGAUGUAAACUCGACAAGGACAGGGAGUUUUGUUUUUCUCGCUGAUGUGUCCCAAAUGCUUGGAGCAAUGACUAUGAUACUUUACCCAAACUCCUCUGGUUUCAACUUGGAUGUGGACAAUGCACAGGUGAUGGAGUUUUUGGAAGCGAUCUACUUGCCCUUAACUUGUGUCCUAGGACAAAGCCACGAAACAAACAUCCCCUCCUUUGUUCCCAAGUGAUGUUUUGUACUUUGUACCGGGUCAAAAACUACGGGUCUUGUUCAUUAGACCUAAGUCCCUGGGCUGGGAGAGUCACUGCUCGGAUUGGUAUGUCCCCAGUCUUACCUCCCUUCAUUGAUGCAUGUAUGCUUUGGAUCUCCCAAGGCCCUCUCAGCGUUUGGGGCUACAUUCUUUUUCCGCUUUUUCCUUGGGGCCUGAAGCUUAUGGCCACAGGGCUUCUACUGACCCAUGCGUCUCCAGAGCUGGGGAUGCUUUGACCUUGACUAUCUCCCUCAACUGUUUAAUCCUUGAAAGAAUUCCAAUUCAUUCCUAAAUUGAUCUCCAUCAUCAUAUUUCUAAAGUGGAAACUCAACUUAGAGAAGGUCCCCUCCCGCUUUGGGGUUUCUGGAUAGUAGAGCUGAGGAAAGCAUGUCUACCUGCAUCCACAUAUCUGGCUAGAGGAUCUCCCCAGAGAUACAACCUGAUGGGCAAAGAGAGAUGUCUCCUGCUGGACAUCACAGUACGAGAAGAGUUACUAUGUCAGACAUCAAAGAAAGAAUGCAGUCAAUCCUCAGUGAGAAGGCCUCACCAGGUAAUGUUAACAGCUAACACAACAGUAAACCCGUGCCUCCCAAGUCAAAAGGCAUCAGCCACACGAAAUCCCUGGGAGGCUGUCCUGAGACCUCACACAGAGAAAUCUGAGGAAUCAUUCCAGAACAGAGAACAGCAGGAAGUGGCACCUUCCACCUAAGACUACUGAGACCACACUGCUAACCACAGGAAGUGUCACCUUCUGUCAAGAUCCACCAGAGCCACCCAUUGCGGUGCUUUAAUCUGCAUGUGCUUUUGCUCUUUUCCUU
Molecule: long non-coding RNA, 1339 nt
Organism: Hyaena hyaena (striped hyena)
Lineage: Eukaryota; Metazoa; Chordata; Mammalia; Carnivora; Hyaenidae
Exons: 3
Source: RefSeq, a predicted model, not a curated record